Long non-coding RNA from Macadamia integrifolia, 465 nucleotides. RefSeq lists it as uncharacterized. The transcript has 4 exons. The record is from RefSeq and is a predicted model, not a curated record. NCBI's taxonomy places the organism in Eukaryota, Viridiplantae, Streptophyta, Magnoliopsida, Proteales, Proteaceae.
AAAAAAUCUCUCACGUCUUUAUCUCUCUUGGCUCUUGCAAGAAAGCUUGACAUUAGUAGAGAUAUAGAAGGAUCCUUUCUUCUGAAGUCAAUUUUGUAGAAGAAACCUUUCUUUCAUCUUUGUUCCACAUCAAGAGGUAGAAACCCUUUUCGCCCAUCUUCUCCGUUCUCUCUUUCUCCAACAUUGCACUUUAAUUUAAGAAAAGAGGGGAAAUUCUUUAGUUGUGAGAGCUGAGGAAACAGUGGCCUCUGCAUGCAGCAUUCGAUCUUCACCAUGGAUUUGGAAAUACAAGAGUUGUAGGAUAGAAAGAGCUUGAGUUUUUUCCGUGAUGAGCUCCAGAUCCGAAUGUCAAGUAUCUACAAUGUCAUUUUGAAGGAGAGGAAUCUGCCCUAUCCCUGCUAAAUGACCACAAGAAGAUUGAUUCAAAUCUAAAAGAAACAAUUCUCGGAGUACAAAUCUCAAUCA